GGGGGGAACGUACGGGACGGGGCUCAUCGUUGCCAACUACACCAAGGGACAGGAGCUGAGCAUCGAGGUGGAGCUCACGAAGAGCCACUUGGGGUACUUCGAGUUCCGCCUCUGCGUGAACAACGAAACCCCCC
This is a long non-coding RNA of Penaeus monodon (black tiger shrimp), 134 nucleotides long. RefSeq lists it as uncharacterized. The record is from RefSeq and is a predicted model, not a curated record. The transcript has 2 exons. Lineage: Eukaryota; Metazoa; Arthropoda; Malacostraca; Decapoda; Penaeidae.